UAAGGGUUAUUAAGUUAUUAUUAUUAUGGAUUAGUGAGUUUAAAUUGUUAAAAAAAUAUUUAUGUGUUAGUGUAUUAAUUAAUGAAUUAAUAAUUUUGAUGAUAGUGAAUUUAUACUGUAAGGGAUUUUUGGAAUAUAAAUUAUAAUGUAUAUGUAAAGUAUAAUUUAUUUUUAGUACCUUGUGUAUCAGGAUUAAUUAAUUAAUUAUUAUUGAAUUUAAUUAUCUCGAUUUCUUAUGAGUUAAAUAAUUAUUUUAUUUAUUGUAAAAUAAAUAUUAUUAAUAAUUAUUUGGGAGUGAAAUUUUAUUCGUUUAAGAUUAUAUCUAGUUUUUAGGGAAAUAAAUUGAAUUUAUAUUUAUUCUUUAAUAGGUUUUAUUAAUAAACUUUUUUUAGUUUAUAUAAAUAGUUAAGGGGAUUAGCUCUUAGUUAAAUUUUUAUAAAGGUGUAGAUAAUUAAAUUAUAAUGGAUUUAUUGAUGAUUUUUACUUAGAAUAUAUUAAAAUUCUAAUUUUGUUUAUAAUUAAUUUUUUUUUCUUUUAAUUAUUUACUUAAAUAUUAUAUUUAAUAUUUAUAUAUAAUUAAUAAUGAUUAAAUUAGUAUAAUAAUUAUUAUUUUUUAAUUUUAAUUUAAUUUAAGGAAUUAGGCAAGAUUUAUAUUAUUCGCCUGUUUAACAAAAACAUCUCUUUUUGUAAAAUUUAUAAGGUAUAACCUGCCCACUGAAAAUUUUAAUGGCCGCGGUAUUUUGACCGUGCAAAGGUAGCAUAAUCAUUAGUCUUUUAAUUGAAGGCUGGAAUGAAUGGUUGGACGAAAUAAUAACUGUCUUAAGUUAAUUAUUUUGAAUUUAAUUUUUAGGUUAAAAAGCUUAAAUUUAUUUAUGGGACGAGAAGACCCUAUAGAAUUUAAAUAUAUAAUUGUAUUUAUAGGAGUUUGUUAAUAAGAUGAUACUAUUAUAUAUUUUGUUGGGGUGAUGGGAAGAAAAAAUUAACUCUUUUUUAAAUGUUAAUAUAAAUUAAUAAAUUUUUGAUCCAUUAUUAUUGAUUAAAAGUCUAAAUUACCUUAGGGAUAACAGCGUAAUCUUUUUUGAGAGUUCUAAUCGACAAAUAAGGAUUGCGACCUCGAUGUUGGAUUAAGAAUAUAAUUAGGUGUAGAAGCUUAAAUUUGUAGGUCUGUUCGACCUUUAAAUUCUUACAUGAUCUGAGUUCAAACCGGCGUGAGCCAGGUUGGUUUCUAUCUAUUAAAAAAUAAAAUGUUUUAGUACGAAAGGACCAAAUAUUUAAAAUAAUUUUUUUUGUAGAAUAUUAAUAAAUGU
This 1307-nucleotide ribosomal RNA is filed under the name Paranauphoeta nigra. RNAcentral describes it as "16S ribosomal RNA". The stretch from base 1060 to 1220 matches the Rfam family "Archaeal large subunit ribosomal RNA", at positions 2542 to 2701 of the family's 2987-position model. The record is from RNAcentral. Lineage: Eukaryota; Metazoa; Arthropoda; Insecta; Blattodea; Blaberidae.